Molecule: unclassified non-coding RNA, 230 nt
Filed under: Hevea brasiliensis (rubber tree)
Lineage: Eukaryota; Viridiplantae; Streptophyta; Magnoliopsida; Malpighiales; Euphorbiaceae
Source: RNAcentral
GAAAAAGGGAGGUCGCCCAGAAGGUACAAGAAAUGAAAAUUGCCGCUAUAUCUCAAACACUGGGGCGAGACUCGGUAGAAGUGCUGAGCUCUUCGUCCUGACCUUCGAGGCAACCGAUCCCAGAGACAGAUAUUGCUCUUUCCCCUCAUUGACAGGAAGAACUGCCACCUCCGCCGGUUUCUUCAAGUGUGCAGGGAGGGUUUUCUCAACCUGCUGUGAGGACCCUCUCU